This 253-nucleotide ribosomal RNA is filed under the name uncultured bacterium. RNAcentral's name for it is "partial 16S ribosomal RNA". It matches the Rfam family "Bacterial small subunit ribosomal RNA", at positions 524 to 776 of the family's 1533-position model. The record is from RNAcentral.
UACAGAGGGUGCAAGCGUUGCUCGGAUUUACUGGGCGUAAAGCGUACGCAGACGGACCGCCAAGUCGGGGGUGAAAGCCCGAGGCUCAACCUCGGAACUGCCUUCGAUACUGCGGGUCUAGAGUCCGGAAGAGGAGAGUGGAAUUCCUGGUGUAGCGGUGAAAUGCGCAGAUAUCAGGAAGAACACCCGUGGCGAAGGCGGCUCUCUGGGACGGUACUGACGCUGAGACGCGAAAGCGUGGGGAGCGAACAGG